Long non-coding RNA from Lacerta agilis (Sand lizard), 260 nucleotides. RefSeq lists it as uncharacterized. The transcript has 2 exons. The record is from RefSeq and is a predicted model, not a curated record. Lineage: Eukaryota; Metazoa; Chordata; Lepidosauria; Squamata; Lacertidae.
UUCAGCUCUUCUAAAAAAAAAAAAAGGUAACAAGAUGGUCUAGAAGUCUCCAGUUCUGAUAGCUGUGAAGGGUAGCCAGAAGACCACACAGGAGCAAGAUGUUAGAAAGGAUGUGUAUCUGGUGGAUUUGAUCCUCAGCUCCCAUUUUCUUCAGUUCAGCUUCUGUCAGGUGGAGCAAAUCCUGGAACCGGCCCAACAAAAAAGAAGAUGGUUGAGAAAAUAUUAACUUUGUUCAUUUUUUAAGUAAUAAAAUUCUUUUU